GGUGCAGUGGCCAAGUGGGAAGGCUUUGGUCUUGUAAACUAAAGGUUGUGGGUUUGAUUCCCACUUGUACCU
Molecule: non-coding RNA, 72 nt
Organism: Stegostoma tigrinum
Lineage: Eukaryota; Metazoa; Chordata; Chondrichthyes; Orectolobiformes; Stegostomatidae
Source: the annotation of a RefSeq genome assembly